GGAUAUGACGCUGGGCGAGCGCUGGUCUCCAAAACCAGACGAAGAGGGUUCGAUUCCUUCCAUGUCCGCCA
RNAcentral lists this transfer RNA (71 nucleotides) under Salmonella enterica. RNAcentral's name for it is "tRNA-Trp". It matches the Rfam family "tRNA". Rfam says of the family: Transfer RNA (tRNA) molecules are approximately 80 nucleotides in length. Their secondary structure includes four short double-helical elements and three loops (D, anti-codon, and T loops). The record is from RNAcentral. RNAcentral also lists the same sequence under 1 other name. Lineage: Bacteria; Pseudomonadati; Pseudomonadota; Gammaproteobacteria; Enterobacterales; Enterobacteriaceae.